ACGACGAGACCCCGCCCAUCCGAUACAACUCAGAAACCCGCCAUUUUAAACUAAACUGGGAAGAAGAUACUCAGGCAGAAGAAGUUAAACUUUCUUUUAUUUUUCUUCCAUUUGAAUGUGUGAGCAGUUAAGCCUAAUGCCGAAGUGUUUGGUAGUUACUCUCAAACAGAACUCUGCUUCGAAUGGCGGUUUGGAGAAUCCAGAUUUCAGUUGAAACGGAAACGAAUUAAAAACGGUUGGGGUUUUAACGGAGUUUGGUGGGUAUUUUUUUUCUUCCUGGGAUGGAGGUGGACAUCCUGGAGUUCAAGGUUCCUACGGACAACAACAAAACCGUGUUCGUUUGGGACAUCCCUCCGGUUCUGACCCAGGAUCAGGUUUAUGAGCAGCUCCAUCAUGUCUUCUCCUCUUUUGGACCGCUCUACCUGUUGAAGCUGUGUGCCAACGCUCCGCUCCACCCACCUGGUUUCUACGCCAUCAUCAAGUUCUACUCUGCUGCUCACGCUGCCAACGCCCAGAGACUCACAGAUGGACGCUCUCUGCUUCACAACUCCACCCUCAAGGUGAAGCUGAGUUCCAAGCAGACUCCCCACUUCCUGUCUGGCAGGAAUUCUCCUCUGAGCCACGCCCGCUGCCUGGAACUGGCCAAUCACUACCUGGGCUUCAAUGGCUGGACCUCUGACAUCAUCACACUGAAGGAGCUCACCAAUGAAGAAGAAGGUGAGGAUGAAGAAGAGGAUGUGGGUGGAGCCAGACAGAGGAUAAGGUUCGGCUGUAUGAUGAAGCUUAGCUUCCCUCGUUACGGCGUGACGACCAGAGGAGCCGCAGUGGUGGAGGAGACCUUCAACUGUACAGGUCCAGACGUCCUCCUGCAGAGACGCUGCAAGCUGCAGCGGUCGGUCAGAGAGAAGGCCCUGGUCCAGGCCUUCUCCUCUGUGCUGCUCAUACUUCUAGGGAAUGGUAAGGUGAUGGUGGAGCUGAAGCAGACCUCAGAUCAGUUUGAAGCUGAUGAGACGGAAGACGUCCUGGAGGUGAAUGAGUUUUCCCUGUCAGAGGCUGAUGAUGAGGAGGCUGAUGAUGAAGACUGGGAUCUGACUGUGUCUUAGACUCUCUCAGGAUUACAGUUUGGACUGAUCUGAGGUCAGCUGCAGGCUAACCAGCCUCCUGCCUUCCUGAUUGGCUGGUCCUGCUCAGGACUUAAAGUAUCUGCUAUUGAUGGAUCAAGUCCGAGACUGAGGUCCGAGAACAGUCAGAGAUCUUCUGGUGGCUUUGAGAGCCGACAAACAGAACAUCAUCAUCAUCACAGCACCACAUUUCCUUUAGGAGCAUCACAAUAAACCAGUGAAUAGUAAAAAAAUACUUUAAUAUCAUCAGCAUACAGACAAAACAUCCAUCGACACUGCAGGGAAUGCUAACACACACAGACUAAAGCUGCUUUCAGUGACUGUCAGAAAUUACAAAACUGUACACUAAUCUCUACAGCACAAAAAACACUGGACCACGCAGCACCUGAAGGCAGCAGAACGAAUUUACAGACGAGUCCUGAAGGCAGCAUGGACAGAAACGCUGACCCUGCAGCAAUAUCCGGUCCUUAAAGGAGAAUUCCAAUAUUUAUAACAUAGCCCUUCAAAUUAAAACCUUGGUGGAUCAAUUGAUCCUUUCCGAUGGCUGAGGGCCGAUCACACACAGAUCAAUAAAAAUUGUACCA
Molecule: RNA transcript, 1705 nt
Organism: Xiphophorus couchianus (Monterrey platyfish)
Lineage: Eukaryota; Metazoa; Chordata; Actinopteri; Cyprinodontiformes; Poeciliidae
Gene: rdm1
Gene name: RAD52 motif containing 1
Exons: 8
Source: RefSeq, a predicted model, not a curated record